This 73-nucleotide transfer RNA is filed under the name Stegodyphus mimosarum. It matches the Rfam family "tRNA". From Rfam's summary of the family: Transfer RNA (tRNA) molecules are approximately 80 nucleotides in length. Their secondary structure includes four short double-helical elements and three loops (D, anti-codon, and T loops). Further hydrogen bonds mediate the characteristic L-shaped molecular structure. tRNAs have two regions of fundamental functional importance: the anti-codon, which is responsible for specific mRNA codon recognition, and the 3' end, to which the tRNAs corresponding amino acid is attached (by aminoacyl-tRNA synthetases). tRNAs cope with the degeneracy of the genetic code in two manners: having more than one tRNA (with a specific anti-codon) for a particular amino acid; and 'wobble' base-pairing, i.e. permitting non-standard base-pairing at the 3rd anti-codon position. Lineage: Eukaryota; Metazoa; Arthropoda; Arachnida; Araneae; Eresidae. The record is from Rfam by way of RNAcentral.
ACCUUCGUGGUGUAGUGGUCAGCACGCUGGGCGCAUAUUCUAGAGUUUCGUGGUUUGAAUCCCGGCGAGGGCA